ACUCGCCUACGGGGGGCAGCAGUGAGGAAUAUUGGUCAAUGGGCGCAAGCCUGACCCAGCAACGCCGCGUGAAGGAAGAAGGCUUUCGGGUUGUAAACUUCUUUUAAGGGGGACGAACAAAUGACGGUACCCCUUGAAUAAGCCACGGCUAACUACGUGCCAGCAGCCGCGGUAAUGCGUAGGUGGCAAGCGUUAUCCGGAUUUAUUGGGUGUAAAGGGCGUGUAGGCGGGAGCGCAAGUCAGAUGUGAAAACUCAGGGCUCAACCCUGAGCCUGCAUUUGAAACUGUGUUACUUGAGUGCUGGG
RNAcentral lists this ribosomal RNA (305 nucleotides) under uncultured bacterium. Its description in RNAcentral is "bacterial SSU rRNA". It matches the Rfam family "Bacterial small subunit ribosomal RNA", at positions 333 to 653 of the family's 1533-position model. The record is from RNAcentral.